RNAcentral lists this ribosomal RNA (263 nucleotides) under uncultured bacterium. Its description in RNAcentral is "partial 16S ribosomal RNA". It matches the Rfam family "Bacterial small subunit ribosomal RNA", at positions 335 to 590 of the family's 1533-position model. The record is from RNAcentral.
GUGCCUACGGGGGGCAGCAGUAGGGAAUUUUCGUCAAUGGGCGCAAGCCUGAACGAGCAAUGCCGCGUGAACGAGGAAGGUCUUCGGAUCGUAAAGUUCUGUUGAAGGUCAAAAAGAGCGGAGAGAGGAAAUGGUCUCCGAUUGAUAUUACCCUUCGAGGAAGUCACGGCUAACUACGUGCCAGCAGCCGCGGUAAUACGUAGGUUGCUAGCGUUAUCCUGAUUUAUUGGGCGUAAAGGGAACGCAGGCGGUCUUUUAAGUCU